GUGCUCGCAUGGACAGCAUCUGUGGUGAAAAUGGACGGAGACAGAGAAGAUUAGCAUCGCCCUUGUGCGUGGGUGACGCACAUGGAACUUGUGAAGUGCUUACAUUUUCU
Mastomys coucha (southern multimammate mouse) is the source of this 110-nucleotide small nuclear RNA. Lineage: Eukaryota; Metazoa; Chordata; Mammalia; Rodentia; Muridae. The record is from RefSeq and is a predicted model, not a curated record.